GUCCCGGUAGUUCAAUGGACAGAACAAAUCUCUCCUAAAGAUUAGAUACAGGUUCGAUUCCUGUUCGGGGCACCA
This 75-nucleotide transfer RNA is filed under the name Comamonas sp. Its description in RNAcentral is "tRNA-Arg". It matches the Rfam family "tRNA". Rfam says of the family: Transfer RNA (tRNA) molecules are approximately 80 nucleotides in length. Their secondary structure includes four short double-helical elements and three loops (D, anti-codon, and T loops). Further hydrogen bonds mediate the characteristic L-shaped molecular structure. tRNAs have two regions of fundamental functional importance: the anti-codon, which is responsible for specific mRNA codon recognition, and the 3' end, to which the tRNAs corresponding amino acid is attached (by aminoacyl-tRNA synthetases). tRNAs cope with the degeneracy of the genetic code in two manners: having more than one tRNA (with a specific anti-codon) for a particular amino acid; and 'wobble' base-pairing, i.e. permitting non-standard base-pairing at the 3rd anti-codon position. The record is from RNAcentral. Lineage: Bacteria; Pseudomonadati; Pseudomonadota; Betaproteobacteria; Burkholderiales; Comamonadaceae.